CAAAGCUACUGUGUGAGGGAGCCUUUGCUCAGAAUGAGGCAGUGACUCUAAGAGCAAGGGAUCUUCCCCUGCAAUGUUGCACUGUUUCUAUUGAGCAAUGGCCAGUGAGCAGGUUCUCUCCUCCCUACCCCCACACAGACACUAACCCAAGCAGCAAGGUGAAGUCUACUGUGGUAAGUGUUUGAGCAGGAUCUCCGUGGUUUCUGCCACCUCAAUGCCACCACCUUCCAUACCAGACAGAGCUUCCUAUUUUGAUGGGCAAGAAGAGAAUUUGCCAUGGCUCAAGACUGUCAGUGGAAACCCACUUCCAUGAAGCAGUGCUGGCCUUUGCCAAUGACCCACCUGGAAGAAGGGUGAAAGAUCUCAUGAACUCACCAAGACACACUUUGAAGUGGCCCUGUUGUGCUCUAUAGGACAUGGGAUAUCUCAGUGAAGAAUGGAGCCCCACUGCAGGCAUCAGUACCCAUCUGAUAUAUAGUUACAGAAGGCAUCUCAGAUUCACAACACCCUCACCAGCCCCCCACUGAAUAGCAUGUCAUCUGGCAACAGGAGGCGUUUGAUUAUAUUUGGAUGGCACUCCUGCAUCAACUCCAGUUGUCUCUGAAUUGGAACUGAUGGGCCUCACGUGUUGCAGCCAACAAUUUGCUUUCACCCACUCCCCUCUCUGAAAUGAACCAUUCUCUGAGAAAACAAGAAACCUACGUGCCAUCCUGGGUGAGAGACUAACAGGAACUGUGUCCCAGCAUCGCAUCCACGCAUGGCAUCAAGAGCACACUGAGAGGGGUUUCCAACAACAAAUUGUGCUUCAAGCUUCUGUGGAAAGACUCUUUGAACCAGAGGAAAAGUUCUCCUCAGAGUAUGAUAGCCUCUGUGGUCAUCUCAGUUCACAGGCAUUGAGUUCUUACUGUGUGCCCCAAGCUAUUGUCUCCUGUAGCAAGUCUCUAUAACUUCACUCUCCCCAUUUUGACUUAUGUGCUCUGUUAGUAGCUGCUGCAGGCAGAAUAAUGACUCCCCAAAGAUGUCCACAUGCUAAUCCUCAGAACCUGUGAGUAAAUUAUAUCCUAUGGGGAGGGGGUGUUAAGAUUGCAGAUGGAAUUAAGCUGGCUAAUCAGCUGACCUUAAAAAAAUAGAUUAGCUAUCAAGGUUACCCUGUGGCCCCAGUGUAGUCACAAAUGUCUUAAAUAG
This is a long non-coding RNA of Pipistrellus kuhlii (Kuhl's pipistrelle), 1185 nucleotides long. RefSeq lists it as uncharacterized. The record is from RefSeq and is a predicted model, not a curated record. NCBI's taxonomy places the organism in Eukaryota, Metazoa, Chordata, Mammalia, Chiroptera, Vespertilionidae. The transcript has 3 exons.